RNAcentral lists this ribosomal RNA (637 nucleotides) under uncultured bacterium. RNAcentral's name for it is "bacterial SSU rRNA". It matches the Rfam family "Bacterial small subunit ribosomal RNA", at positions 607 to 1244 of the family's 1533-position model. The record is from RNAcentral.
GCUCAACCGGGGAGGGUCAUUGGAAACUGGGAAACUUGAGUGCAGAAGAGGAGAGUGGAAUUCCACGUGUAGCGGUGAAAUGCGUAGAGAUGUGGAGGAACACCAGUGGCGAAGGCGACUCUCUGGUCUGUAACUGACGCUGAGGAGCGAAAGCGUGGGGAGCGAACAGGAUUAGAUACCCUGGUAGUCCACGCCGUAAACGAUGAGUGCUAAGUGUUAGGGGGUUUCCGCCCCUUAGUGCUGCAGCUAACGCAUUAAGCACUCCGCCUGGGGAGUACGGUCGCAAGACUGAAACUCAAAGGAAUUGACGGGGGCCCGCACAAGCGGUGGAGCAUGUGGUUUAAUUCGAAGCAACGCGAAGAACCUUACCAGGUCUUGACAUCCUCUGACAACCCUAGAGAUAGGGCUUUCCCUUCGGGGACAGAGUGACAGGUGGUGCAUGGUUGUCGUCAGCUCGUGUCGUGAGAUGUUGGGUUAAGUCCCGCAACGAGCGCAACCCUUGAUCUUAGUUGCCAGCAUUUAGUUGGGCACUCUAAGGUGACUGCCGGUGACAAACCGGAGGAAGGUGGGGAUGACGUCAAAUCAUCAUGCCCCUUAUGACCUGAGCUACACACGUGCUACAAUGGACAGAUCAAAG